RNAcentral lists this ribosomal RNA (587 nucleotides) under uncultured bacterium. RNAcentral describes it as "bacterial SSU rRNA". It matches the Rfam family "Bacterial small subunit ribosomal RNA", at positions 320 to 900 of the family's 1533-position model. The record is from RNAcentral.
UGCAGAAUUCGCCCUUCCCUACGGGAGGCAGCAGUGGGGAAUUGUUCGCAAUGGGCGCAAGCCUGACGACGCAACGCCGCGUGGAGGAUGAAGGUCUUCGGAUUGUAAACUCCUGUUGCCCGGGACGGAUAGCUUCGACCUAACACGUCGGAGUAUGACGGUACCGGGUGAGGAAGCCCCGGCUAACUCUGUGCCAGCAGCCGCGGUAAUACAGAGGGGGCAAGCGUUGUUCGGAAUUACUGGGCGUAAAGGGCGCGUAGGCGGCCUGUUAAGUCGAACGUGAAAUCCCCGGGCUCAACCCGGGAACUGCGUCCGAUACUGGCUGGCUUGAAUCCGGGAGAGGGAUGUGGAAUUCCAGGUGUAGCGGUGAAAUGCGUAGAUAUCUGGAGGAACACCGGUGGCGAAGGCGACAUCCUGGACCGGUAUUGACGCUGAGGCGCGAAAGCCAGGGGAGCAAACGGGAUUAGAUACCCCGGUAGUCCUGGCCCUAAACGAUGAAUGCUUGGUGUGGCGGGUAUCGAUCCCUGCCGUGCCGAAGCUAACGCAUUAAGCAUUCCGCCUGGGGAGUACGGUCGCAAGGCUGAAAC